GAGAGAGAGAGAGAGAGAGAGAGAGAACAGAUUCCAGUCCUCUACAUAACCCAUCAUAAUGCCACUCCAUUAUUACUAUCUUUCCAACUACCUAAAACCCAUACAUAAUCAUCUGUACAAACACGUUUUUAAAACUAUAUGUCCUAAGAUUUCUAUUCGAGAAAUCAAGUCCCAGUGCUAAUUAAUAAAUAUGAUGGGAC
This 200-nucleotide unclassified non-coding RNA is filed under the name Hevea brasiliensis (rubber tree). Lineage: Eukaryota; Viridiplantae; Streptophyta; Magnoliopsida; Malpighiales; Euphorbiaceae. The record is from RNAcentral.